Molecule: ribosomal RNA, 492 nt
Filed under: uncultured bacterium
Lineage: Bacteria
Description: partial 16S ribosomal RNA
Rfam family: Bacterial small subunit ribosomal RNA
Source: RNAcentral
GAUGAACGCUGGCGGCGUGCCUAAUACAUGCAAGUCGAACGAAAACACAGUGAGAUUUUUCCUUUGCCGUUAGCGACGGGCGGGCGGGUAAGAAGUAGAUCAGCAUCUACUUUUUCUUGGGUAAUUACGGAAGACCAGUGACGCUACUACCUCAUAUGACCUACCGCAUAAUUCAAUAGAUCUUGACGCCUUUGCCGUUUCAUUUAGCCGAUUUCGUAUUGGCUAGUUGGCUUGGUAAAGGCCCACCAAGGCAACGAUCCGUAGCUGACCUGAGAGGAUGAUCAGCCACACUGGAACUGAGACACGGUCCAGACUCCUACGGGAGGCAGCAGUGGGGAAUCUUGCACAAUGGGCGAAAGCCUGACGGAGCAAUGCCGCGUGAGUGAUGAAGGUCUUCGGGUCGUAAAGCUCUGUUAUUAGGGAAGAACAAAUGUGUAAGUAACUAUGCACGUCUUGACGGUACCUAAUCAGAAAGCCACGGCUAACUACGUG